Molecule: ribosomal RNA, 498 nt
Filed under: uncultured bacterium
Lineage: Bacteria
Description: partial 16S ribosomal RNA
Rfam family: Bacterial small subunit ribosomal RNA
Source: RNAcentral
AUUGAACGCUGGCGGCAUGCCUUACACAUGCAAGUCGAACGGUAACAGGUCUUCGGAUGCUGACGAGUGGCGAACGGGUGAGUAAUACAUCGGAACGUGCCUAGUAGUGGGGGAUAACUACUCGAAAGAGUGGCUAAUACCGCAUGAGAUCUACGGAUGAAAGCAGGGGAUCGCAAGACCUUGUGCUACCAGAGCGGCCGAUGGCAGAUUAGGUAGUUGGUGGGAUAAAAGCUUACCAAGCCGACGAUCUGUAGCUGGUCUGAGAGGACGAUCAGCCACACUGGGACUGAGACACGGACCAGACUCCUACGGGAGGCAGCAGUGGGGAAUUUUGGACAAUGGGCGAAAGCCUGAUCCAGCAAUGCCGCGUGCAGGAUGAAGGCCUUCGGGUUGUAAACUGCUUUUGUACGGAACGAGAAGCCCCGGGUUAAUACCCUGGGGUCAUGACGGUACCGUAAGAAUAAGCACCGGCUAACUACGUGCCAGCCGCCGCGGUAA